CUCCUCUCUGCUGUUGGUUUUUGAAUGCUACUUCGUAAGUGGAGAGAAGGCUUUCCUUUUCACUGACCUGUUCAGUCCCAGUUCAUCUUUACAUCCUAUUUCUGCCAUGGUUGCUUGUCACUUUUUGGCCAUGCUUCACCUGAAUUUCCUACUUCGCAUGUGUCUUCACACUUGGGGAUCUUCUAUGUGCAUUGAAACUUAGCACAAAUGUUUAAAGCAUGCUACUGCUAACAAGCACAACUUAUCCCUCUUCUAAGCAGCAACGAUAUUGUGUCUCUAACAAGGCAAACAUUUAUUUUCUAGUGAUUUUCAGCUUUUUGUCUUGAGCACAUGAAAAUGUAUCAACUCAUCUAACCCACGUAUAAUGUUCUGAACGUUUUCACUGCUGUCAUUUUCUACAGACUCCCCCUGUAUACUGCAGCUACGCAGCUCAGCAACUCUUCGCUUAGGCUGGACCACAAACACCCUAGGCAUUGACCUUUCUGGGUGUUUUAUGGUGGCACAUCACCCCUCCCUUGCCCAGGGCAGAGGGACUCACAACCAACCACUGACAGACAAUGCACGGGUUGGGACUUGGCGAACCCUUCGGGUGUGGUCAGAGGGUUUCUCACCCGUCAGACUGGCCCUGCCCAUUCGGGGCCCAUAAGUGUCAAUUUCUUGUACAUAUUCAUUCCAGGUGGGUAUGUAGUUGAAGUGUUUCGGAAAUCCCCAAUGUCCGCUGUACCUAACGGCCGUGCCAUGUGGCCAAGGCUCCCUGCGACCGCCCGGAAGUUGGCUUCGGCUGGUGCCAGGCCGCGGCGGCUCCGGGGAAGGGUUGGGGAAGGCCUCGACCCCUCUGGGCCGGGCAGCCCAGCACUGUGCUUCCCUCCCUCCUCAGCUCCCGCGGCCACAUCCGAGGAGGAGCAGGAGGAGGAGGAGGAGCAGGAGGAAGACAGCAGGGGCUGUUGGUGCCACCGCCCACUCUCACAGCCUGAGCCCUCCCCCGCCUUGGGCCUCAUCGGCCGCCGUCCGUCGCCUCAGGUGAAAGCGUAUCCCUCCGCAGCGGCCGCCCCCACGGCCGGGCUCGCAUCCCCACAGUCCCCGGAUGGAAACUGUUAUGGCCGCCAACAGCGACUGGCCGGGCUAUGGAGCGGGGCGAGACCUUUUUUCACUAUUUUUCCUGAAUGUGGCCUUUUCUGAGUCUUACAUAUUUACCUCUUCUAUCCGUGUGGAAAAAUGUUAAAAAGGCUGUUGAAGAUUUGAAGUCAAGUCUUUUCUUAAUGUGUAAGUCUGACUUCUUCAUUGGUUAUGUAAAUUUAAAGAUCCCUGGGAGGUUUUUGUUUCUGUGGGAUUUUUGGUUUAUGUUUUUUUUUUUUACUAGUUGGUUGUUUCUAGUAGAUAUUUUUAUUUAUCAUGCUGCAGGUGCUUGUCGAUAGUCACAUGCUACGCACUAAUAACAAUGUUAAAUUGUAAUUUGUGUGGUUAAUUAGUUAAAGGAGAUAUCAAAUCAGGAUUGAAUAUACCCAGCUGAGACGCUGCCAAACAUAAAUGUUUUAUCCAGUCAGUGGUGUGUUGCCCAACUGAGGCCCACGUUGGCCCCAUGUUAAAAGCCUGAGGUUUGUUCUCUGCAGCAAACUGCAUCCACUUCUGAUUUUUAUAGUGUUAAUUGCACACAUUUCAGGAUUCAGUAUUUGACAGUGUAACACUAUAACCUGAAUGAUAGGCAGCUGCCAUCAGGAUGAUGUAUUGCAUCAUGCAACCUGUAAUCUUCAUGUGUUGCAUGUUGGAGAUCUUAAGAAACCUCUUCAGCAAACAAGCCUAAGUCAUUUUUAGUUACUUAUUCUUUAUAUGGGAGUUCAGCUUGCUCCUGUUCAAAUAAAGGAUUUGCUGUUGACA
This is a long non-coding RNA of Calidris pygmaea (Spoon-billed sandpiper), 1875 nucleotides long. The record is from Ensembl. Lineage: Eukaryota; Metazoa; Chordata; Aves; Charadriiformes; Scolopacidae.